This 336-nucleotide ribosomal RNA is filed under the name uncultured fungus. RNAcentral's name for it is "eukaryotic LSU rRNA". The stretch from base 1 to 128 matches the Rfam family "5.8S ribosomal RNA", at positions 27 to 154 of the family's 154-position model. Lineage: Eukaryota; Fungi. The record is from RNAcentral.
CUGGCAUCGAUGAAGAACGCAGCGAAAUGCGAUAAGUAGUGUGAAUUGCAGAAUUCAGUGAAUCAUCGAAUCUUUGAACGCACAUUGCGCCCCUUGGUAUCCCGAGGGGCAUGCCUGUUCGAGCGUCAUUUCACCAUUCAAGCCUGGCUUGGUGUUGAGCGACGUCCCUUUAGGGACGCGCUUCGAAACGCUCGGCGGCGUGGCACCGGCUUUAAGCGUAGCAGAAUCUUUCGCUUUGAAAGUCGGGGCCCCGUCUGCCGGAAGACCUACUUCAAGGUUGACCUCGGAUCAGGUAGGGAUACCCGCUGAACUUAAGCAUAUCAAUAAGCGGAGGAA